AUGAUCAGGGUCGGGAAUUCGAAAAUGCCCUGUUCAGGACUUUACAACAGCUGGCAGGAGUCUCUCACUCCAGAACCACCCCGUACCAUCCACAGGGAAAUCCAGCGGAGGUUUAACCCCACGUUACUCCAAAUGCUGAGGACACUGGAGCAGGAACAGAAGAACAACUGGAAGGAGCUCUUGCCACAGGUAGUGCAUGCAUAUAAUAUAUGCACCAGACAUGAGGCUACAGGGUUCUCACCCCAUUAUCUGAUGUUUAGGCGUCACCCUCGCCUCCCUAUCGGCCUAGUGUUUGACCUUCCCAUUGACAAGACAAAUGGAACACCACAAACCUACACAGAGAAAUGGGCUGCAAGAAUAAAGAAGGCCUACCGCAUAGCAACAACAAACAGUCAACAAUCCAGUCCACGAGGCAAGGGAUACUAUGACCGUAACAUAAAGGGGGUUGUACUGACACCCAGUGACAGAGUUCUGGUACACAAUAUGAGUGAGAGGGGAGGGCCAGGAAAGCUCAGACCCUAUUGGGAACAAACAGUGCAUGUAGUGAUAGAACAAGUGAAUGACAACCCUAUUUACAAGGUGCGGCCAGAGAAAGGUGGGAAUACUGUGCGGACUCUUCAUCGGAAUCUCCUCCAUCUUGUCAAUGACUUGCCUGUAGAUGAAGCUCAGCCACCCGAGGAAGGAACAACAACAAAAGGCAGAGAAAAGAAUAAGAGGGUAACUCAGGAACACAGAGCACAAUUUCAGAGUAGCAGUCCCUCCGAUUUUGAUGAGGAUGAUGGCCCUCGAACACAUUACUGGUUAAGGAAACAAGGACAGACUGGACCACAGAGAGCCACCAUGCCUGUCUCGUUCCCACUGUCAACCGAACAGACAGGACUGACCCCAAUUGCAACAGAACCCAGGGCACGGCCUGGAUUCACAUUAGGGGAGAAUGCACUAAACCAGGACCAGUUUGGCAGACAUGAUUGUGGACGGAGAGAGAGAUGGAACAGGAUGAGAGUGGGUAUGAACAGGUAA
This 1020-nucleotide long non-coding RNA is filed under the name Betta splendens (Siamese fighting fish). RNAcentral's name for it is "lncRNA (ENSBSLG00000011750.1)". Lineage: Eukaryota; Metazoa; Chordata; Actinopteri; Anabantiformes; Osphronemidae. The record is from RNAcentral.